Small RNA from Flavobacterium succinicans, 76 nucleotides. It matches the Rfam family "Flavo-1 RNA". Lineage: Bacteria; Pseudomonadati; Bacteroidota; Flavobacteriia; Flavobacteriales; Flavobacteriaceae. The record is from Rfam.
UUUUAGCCCCGGGAGGAGUGGCAUCCUUUGCUGCCGGGGUUCGGCAGUAAAGAUAGAGCGGAUCACGGGACGAUGU